AUAAACUUUAAACUUUAAAACCUAAAUCCUAUAUCCUAAACCUAAAUCCUUUAAAACCUAAAUCCUACACCCAAAACUCCAAACCCAAACCCUAAAACCUAAACCUUAAACCCUAAAACCUUAACCCUAAAUCCUAAACCCUAAUCCUAAACCCAAAACCCUAAACUAUAUACCCUAAACUUUAAAACCUUAAUUCUACUUUAGCUUCCGGAAUCCAGUUGCGGUUCUAGUUCUUAUACUCAAUCAUACACAUGACAUCUAGUCAGGUUUGACACAAAAACCCAAACCAUGCUUCUACUUCCUUCACAAAGAUUUGACCAUGUAGUAGAAGUCCGUAUGAUUUUUUGUUUUCCCAUCUUCCAACAAGGAAAGAACACUUU
This 380-nucleotide small RNA is filed under the name Arabidopsis thaliana (thale cress). Its description in RNAcentral is "ATSL200840". The record is from RNAcentral. Lineage: Eukaryota; Viridiplantae; Streptophyta; Magnoliopsida; Brassicales; Brassicaceae.